GUGGUUCAGAGACCUGAAAAUGAAAUGUCGGUUAUUUUACACUACUAAGUGAGACUCAAGAAUUAUGCUGGCUCCAGGGGAUGGCGGACAUCUUAUGCAUUCAGUACAUGAUUUUGGACUAAUAAAUUAAUGAAAAGCAAAUUGGUAUAGUAACAAAGAAAACAAGCUCACUGCACAAAGCAAUUGCAUGACCUUGGAAAGAUUACUUAAUUUCUCUAUGACUCCAUGAAUUGGGCUCACCAACAAAAGAAUAAAGCAAACAUGGACAAAUGCUUUUAGUUUUUUUUUUGAUAAUUAAAGGAAUAACUCAUUUCAGGAAGUUUAGUUUACCGGAUAAAAUAUAUUGUUUAAUAUUAAUUUUUUUUUGACUCUAUCUGUUUUCCAUUCUUACUUCCAGCAUAUUAAAAUUAUAUCUUUGGGAUAGAAAUUUUCUGAAUGCUGCUUCUGUCAAAAUUCAUUGUUUUAAAUUACAGUCAUUUUUUUCUUCUUACCUCUAACAGCACCUAUUGCCAUACAGAGUCUGGAACUGAGAUUUGGUUCUGAGUGAUAUAGAGAAUUAAGAGAGAUAGGG
This 571-nucleotide long non-coding RNA is filed under the name Homo sapiens (human). RNAcentral describes it as "HSALNT0202507". Lineage: Eukaryota; Metazoa; Chordata; Mammalia; Primates; Hominidae. The record is from RNAcentral.